Molecule: small RNA, 553 nt
Filed under: uncultured fungus
Lineage: Eukaryota; Fungi
Description: eukaryotic LSU rRNA
Rfam family: 5.8S ribosomal RNA (bases 117-271)
Source: RNAcentral
CCUCUGUAGUUCUGUGGCCUGAGGGACCCCAUCCCUCUGCCGCGGUUCUACGUUUUUAUACACACCCCGUAGUAAAGUCUUAUGGAAUGUGUGCCGCGUUUAACGCAAUGAAAUACAACUUUCAGCAACGGAUCUCUUGGCUCUCGCAUCGAUGAAGAACGCAGCGAAAUGCGAUAAGUAAUGUGAAUUGCAGAAUUCAGUGAAUCAUCGAAUCUUUGAACGCACCUUGCGCCCCUUGGCUAUUCCGAAGGGCAUGCCUGUUUGAGUAUCAUGAACACCUCAACCCUUGUGGUUUGCCACGAUCGGCUUGGACUUUGGAGGUUUUGCUGGCCCCUGUGGUCGGCUCCUCUCAAAUGAAUCAGCUUACCAGUGUUUGGUGGCGUCGCAGGUGUGAUAACUAUCUACGCUUGUGGCUGUCUGCCAUGUAACCUUCAGCGAUGAGGGUUCGCUGGAGCUCACAGAUGUCUCUCCUGAGUGAAGACAGCUUUUCGAUCGUUCGAUCUCAUAUCAGGUAGGACUACCCGCUGAACUUAAGCAUAUCAAUAAGCGGAGG